CCUACAGGUGGCACGGUAGUAUUUCCUGGCCCAUAAGGGAUAAUGAUAGCCUUUUUAGAAUUUUCACCACUUUCUAACACUGCAAAAAAUUCUACAUUCACAGUUAACUGAAGUACUUUCAUUUUACUAUUCAGAAAUGAAUUUGAAUGUGUAUCGCACAAGGAUAAUAGUUACGCUGAACGGUGCCCACUGGUCACCCUAUAAAUAGUGCUCUUGUGUGUAGUAAUAUUGUAGUUCUAACACAUGUCUAAAAAUAGAAAGCUUAAAAUAGACAAUUCAUCUUUCUAUUUAGCAAUACACCAUAGAGCCUGUCACCGUCUGUAUUAUCUAAGUCACUAGAAAAUGUAGAUGAAAGAGUAGAUAAUGUUAGACAACCGAAGAUCCAGAAAAAAGAUGAAGAUCAGAAGUCAACAGAAAAUGUAGAUGAGAGUGGUACAAGUUAGACGACGGAUUGGAAUGAGAUUACUUCUUUUGAGGAGUUUAGGAUUGCAAACAUUAGACCUGUGAGAAGUAGACUACAGUCAAUGAAAACAAACAAAACGGAGAAAAGAAUGAUUUAUAUGGUGAAGGGAGAUGAAAUCACGGCCAGAGUCCAGGGAACAGACAGAAUGUCAGUUCACCAGAUAGGUGAUUACUUGACAAUAGGGAAAUCAAAUACUACUCAACAAAAUCGAAAGGAACUUUCAAGACUAGUCAAUUUGAUUCCAAAACCAACAAACAUAGUGCCACCGAUCACAUCAGCCUGGUCCAUGUUAACAAACGGUGAUGUUGACUAUCAAGUUCAAUCUUUAAACACUUUGACCGAGGCUCUUGUUGACAAAGAAGCAACCAAAAAGGCUGUAUGCAAAAAAAUGAAAGGGACAUCUGCCCAAAAAAAGGGUGACAUUGAAAAAACUAAAGAAAUUGUUGGCCAUGUUAUAGCCGAACUAAAUAAAACUAAUGUAAACAAGGCAAUGCAUGGGAAAGUUUUUGAGGCCUUUGGGAAGACAAUACAGACAAUGCUGCCGACGAUUCAAGUGAACGAUAAGAAGAACAGGAUUGUGACAAAUUUAAACUUACUUACUCAUAAAACAUAGUUACAUUUCCAUGGAGAAGGAGUAGUAAGUCCUCUACUCUGCUAUUGGCAUACCCACCAAGGAAAUGGUAUUUCAUGCCCAGGAAAAACCUGAAAAUGACAAAAUGUUAAGGACUUUGAAUUUAUGAUUUAUAUUUGAAUGUACAAAUAGAAAGUACAUAAAAUAUUAAUGUGUUAACAUUUGAAUGUUAUAAGUAGCAUUAUAUUUUUUUGUUUUAAUAUCCUCAUACACAUCAGGUUUUGCUAGACUACAUUUUUUCAUUUUGUCUGCUUUUAUGUAAUUAUCGACUUGCAUUGACAAUUAUGAUAUUUGUAUUAAAUUUGCAUAACCCUAUCAUGAAAGAACGGCAAAAAUCCUCUCCAUAUAGUUAAAAAUUGUAAAGUUUAUAUCAUGCUAUGUCUUUGGUUACCCAUGAAGAAGUAGGAUUUAGACAAAGUGUAAUACUUUUUAUAAAUCAGGUCAUAAAAACAGAGACAGUUCAGAAAAUUUAUCCCCAAAAUAAAAUAUACUUAGUUACUAUUAUCAAACAGAUGAUAAUUAGAUGAUGCUUAAAAUUUCGAUCUUGUAAAAUAUAAGGUGUAUAGUAAUAAAAUGUAUUAAUAACCUUUCAA
Molecule: RNA transcript, 1687 nt
Organism: Mytilus californianus (California mussel)
Lineage: Eukaryota; Metazoa; Mollusca; Bivalvia; Mytilida; Mytilidae
Exons: 9
Source: RefSeq, a predicted model, not a curated record